GACGAACGCUGGCGGCGUGCUUAACACAUGCCAGUCGAACGGAAAGGCCCUGCUUUUGUGGGGUGCUCGAGUGGCGAACGGGUGAGUAACACGUGAGUAACCUGCCCUUGACUUUGGGAUAACUUCAGGAAACUGGGGCUAAUACCGGAUAGGAGCUCCUGCUGCAUGGUGGGGGUUGGAAAGUUUCGGAGGUUGGGGAUGGACUCGGGGCUUAUCAGCUUGUUGGUGGGGUAGUGGCUUACCAAGGCUUUGACGGGUAGCCGGCCUGGGAGGGUGGCCAGCCACCUUGGGACUGAGAUACGGCGCAGACGCCUACGGGAGGCAGCAGUGGGGAAUAUUGCACAAUGGGCGGGAGCCUGAUGCAGCAACGCCGCGUGCGGGAUGACGGCCUUCGGGUUGUAAACCGCUUUCGCCUGUGACGAAGCGUGAGUGACGGUAAUGGGUAAAGAAGCACCGGCUAACUACGUG
This 468-nucleotide ribosomal RNA is filed under the name uncultured bacterium. RNAcentral describes it as "partial 16S ribosomal RNA". It matches the Rfam family "Bacterial small subunit ribosomal RNA", at positions 28 to 507 of the family's 1533-position model. The record is from RNAcentral.